Molecule: ribosomal RNA, 800 nt
Filed under: uncultured rumen bacterium
Lineage: Bacteria
Description: bacterial SSU rRNA
Rfam family: Bacterial small subunit ribosomal RNA
Source: RNAcentral
ACGGGUGAGUAACGCGUAUCCAACCUGCCCAUAACUAAGGGAUAAUCCGUAGAAAUGCGGUCUAAUACCUUAUGUGUUCCGACGAGGACAUCUGAAUUGGAAUAAAGAUUUAUCGGUUAUGGAUGGGGAUGCGUCUGAUUAGAUUGUUGGCGGGGCAACGGCCCACCAAGUCUGCGAUCAGUAGGGGUUCUGAGAGGAAGGUCCCCCACAUUGGAACUGAGACACGGUCCAAACUCCUACGGGAGGCAGCAGUGAGGAAUAUUGGUCAAUGGGCGGGGGCCUGAACCAGCCAAGUAGCGUGCAGGAUGACGGCCCUAUGGGUUGUAAACUGCUUUUGUAUGGGGAUAAAUUGCUCCACGAGUGGAGUAUUGCAGGUACCAUACGAAUAAGGACCGGCUAAUUCCGUGCCAGCAGCCGCGGUAAUACGGAAGGUCCGGGCGUUAUCCGGAUUUAUUGGGUUUAAAGGGAGCGUAGGCCGUGGAUUAAGUGUGUUGUGAAAUGUAGGCGCUCAACGUCUGACUCGCAGCGCAUACUGGUCCACUAGAGUGCGCGCAACGCGGGCGGAAUUUGUCGUGUAGCGGUGAAAUGCUUAGAUAUGACGAAGAACCCCGAUUGCGAAGGCAGCUCGCGGGAGCGCAACUGACGCUGAAGCUCGAAAGUGCGGGUAUCGAACAGGAUUAGAUACCCUGGUAGUCCGCACGGUAAACGAUGGAUGCCCGCUUUUCGGUCAUUAGACCGUGAGGCCAAGUGAAAACAUUAAGCAUCCCACCUGGGGGAGUACGCCGGCAACGGUGAAACUC